GACGGAGGGGGCAAGCGUUGUCCGGGCUCACUGGGCGUAAAGCGUGCGUAGGUGGUGCGAUGCGUCGGCGCUGAAAGCGCCCGGCUUAACCGGGCGACGGGCGACGAUACGAUCGCACUGGAGGCAGGGAGACGUUGGUGGAAUUCCGGGUGUAGUGGUGAAAUGCGUAGAGAUCCGGAGGAAUGCCGGUGGCGUAAGAGGCCAACGAGUCCUGACCUGACACUGAGGCACGAAAGCGUGGGGAGCAAAUCGG
Molecule: ribosomal RNA, 253 nt
Filed under: uncultured bacterium
Lineage: Bacteria
Description: partial 16S ribosomal RNA
Rfam family: Bacterial small subunit ribosomal RNA
Source: RNAcentral